Molecule: RNA transcript, 1940 nt
Organism: Ailuropoda melanoleuca (giant panda)
Lineage: Eukaryota; Metazoa; Chordata; Mammalia; Carnivora; Ursidae
Gene name: T-cell surface glycoprotein CD1a
Exons: 6
Source: RefSeq, a predicted model, not a curated record
CUUGUUUUGUAGCAGCUGAAUUAGGGGACGGGGAGCAGGAUGGAAGCUGGUGACAAGGAAAAGCUGGAGGCCACAGAGGAUGGUCAGACCACGAGGGGAAGCGAGAGUCUGAGUAGGUGUCCAGGGUUGAGGGAGGAGCACAUUUGCAUUGUCGCAGAGUCGCAGGGAAGGCUGGUGUGUGGAGAAGGAAGUCAGAGGAACAGUGCUGUGUGGGGGUAGGUUUGUUAGAAAAACCAUCAAAGACCGAGUAAGAGAAAGAGAGAACGAACACCUGCAGAUACGAUGCUGUUCCUGCAACUUGUGUCGUUUGUGGUUCUCCUCCCAGGUGGUGACAGUGAAGAUGCCUUCCAGGAGCCGAUCUCCCUCCGAAUCAUCCUGACUUCAUCCUUUUACAACCGUUCCCGGACGCAAAAUCUUGCCUCAGCUUGGCUGGAUGAGCUGCAGACUCAUGGCUGGGACAACAAGACUGGCGCUUUCAUUUUCUUGUGGCCUUGGUCCAGGGGCAACUUAAGCAACGAGGAGGUGAUUAGAGCAGAAGAGGCAUUUUAUUCAAACUCCAUUGGUCUUCCUCUAUGUUUUCAUGACCAUUUCAGUGAAUGGCAACUCGAAUAUCCCUUCCAGGUACAGCUGACAGGAGGCUGUGAGCUGCACUUUGGGGAACCCUCAGUUGGCUUCAUACGGAUUGCUUAUGAAGGAUCAGAUCUCGUGAGUUUCCAGAACAUGUCAUGGUGGCCAUCUCCAGAGGGAGGAAGUAGGGCUCAGCAGGUCUGCAGACUAUUCAAUCAGGACCAUGAAGAUAAUGAAUUUAAUGCAUAAACUUAUCACUGACCACUGUCCCCGCUAUCUCUCAAGUCUUCUUGAUGCAGGGAAGGCAGAUCUCCAGCGACAAGUGAGGCCAGAGGCCUGGCUGUCUGCUGGCCCCAGUCCUGGUCCCGGCCGUCUGCUGCUGGUGUGCCACGUCUCUGGCUUCUACCCCAAACCCGUGUGGGUGAUGUGGAUGCGGGAUGAGCAGAAGCAGCGGGACACCCAGCGAGGCGACGUCCUGCCCCAUGCUGAUGGGACGUGGUAUCUUCAGAUGUCCUUGGAUGUGAAAGCCACGGAAACAGCUGGCCUGUCCUGCCAAGUGAGACACAGCAGUCUAGGAGGCCAGGACAUGGUCCUCUACUGGGAGCAGCCCCACUCCAUGGGCUUGGUCUUCCUGGCAGUGAUAGUGCCCCUGGUGCUUCUGGCAGGUCUGGCGCUGUGGCUCUGGAAGCGCUGGAAAACACACUGGAGAUGUCCAUGCACUGACCUCCGUUCUGGGCAAGAUCCCAGCAGCCCAGGCUCCAGGAGGAACCUGAGGCCAGCUCAGUGGUGACGUCCUUGCAACUCUCUGUCCCACUUUGUCCUUCAGUUCUGCUUAAUGAUCAGCUGUCCAUAUAAGCUCAGUGUAAUUUAGCAGCAUUGGGGUUCUGACUUGGUUCUGCAACUUAACUCUCAAAAUUUAAUUCAGUUUAAAAUGAAGUCCCAGUAACCACCAUGUGUCACAAGCAUUAGAUGUCACUUCCUCCAGUGAGUCCUCCCUGAUUCAGACGUGGGGCAUGUGUUGUGAUGAGCACUGGGUGUUUUACACAACUAAUGAAUCAUUAGACACUACAUCAAAAACUUAUGAUGUACUAUAUGCUGGCUAACUGAACAUAAAAAAAAGAGGAAUAUACAAAAAAAAAAAGAAAAAAAAAGAAAAAAGAAGUGGAAGCAGUCUCUGCCUGGUGAGAAUUUCCACCACUUUAACCUGCACUUGGCUAAUCUAUUAUCUGAUCCCGGCCCUUAUUGCCCGCAGUAUUCCUUUCCCUUCUAAUUCUUAGGGUUUCUGAUAGCAAAGACCAUGUCUUUUUAAUAUUUGUAUCCUUGUCAAGGAGAGUCACCUUCAUGGAAAAUAUCCCCAAUAAAAAUGUGUUCAA